CCUACGGGAGGCUGCAGUGAGGAAUAUUGGUCAAUGGCCGUAAGGCUGAACCAGCCAAGUCGCGUGAAGGAAGAAGGAUUUAUGGUUUGUAAACUCCUUUUAUAGGGGAAUAAAGGUAUCCACGUGUGGCUAUUUGCAUGUACCCUAUGAAUACGCAUCGGCUAACCCCGUGCCAGCAGCCGCGGUACUACGGAGGAUGCGAGCGUUAUCCGGAUUUAUUGGGGUUAAAGGGUACGUAGGUUGUUUUUUAAGUCAGCGGUGAAAGUUUGUGGCUCAACCAUAAAAUUGCCGUUGAAACUGGAAGACUUGAGUGUGUUUGAGGGAGGCAGAAGGCGUGGUGUAGCGGUGAAAUGCAUAGAUAUCACGCAGAACACCGAUUGCGAAGGCAGCUUACUAAGCCAUAACUGACGCUGAAGCGCGAAAGCGUGGGGAGCAAACAGGAUUAGAUACCCGUGUAGUC
RNAcentral lists this ribosomal RNA (460 nucleotides) under uncultured bacterium. Its description in RNAcentral is "partial 16S ribosomal RNA". It matches the Rfam family "Bacterial small subunit ribosomal RNA", at positions 338 to 795 of the family's 1533-position model. The record is from RNAcentral.